This 207-nucleotide ribosomal RNA is filed under the name uncultured bacterium. Its description in RNAcentral is "partial 16S ribosomal RNA". It matches the Rfam family "Bacterial small subunit ribosomal RNA", at positions 568 to 774 of the family's 1533-position model. The record is from RNAcentral.
CGUGCAGCCGGAGAGGCAAGUCAGAUGUGAAAUCCUUGGGCUUAACCCAGGGACUGCAUUUGAAACUGUCUCCCUCGAGUGUCGGAGAGGUAACCGGAAUUCCUAGUGUAGCGGUGAAAUGCGUAGAUAUUAGGAAGAACAUCAGUGGCGAAGGCGGGUUACUGGACGACAACUGACGGUGAGGCGCGAAAGCGUGGGGAGCAAACA